AACGGGUGAUUAACACGUGGGUGAUCACCCCUGGUCUCUGGGAUAAGCCUGGGAAACUGGGUCUAUAUCCGGUAACGUCCUAGCCGGGCAUGGCUGGGGGUGGAAAGUUUUUCGGUGCAGGAUGAGCCCGCGGCCUAUCAGCUUGUUGGUGGGGUUUAGGCCUACCAAGGCGACGACGGGUAGCCGGCCUGAGAGGGCGACCGGCCACACUGGGACUGAGACACGGCCCAUACUCCUACGGGAGGCAGCAGUGGCCAUAUUAGCAGAAUGGGCGCAAGCCUGAUGCAGCGACGGGGUGAGGGAUGACGGCCUUCGGGUUGUAAACCUCUUUCACCCAUGACGAAGCGCAAGUGACGGUAGUGGGAGAAGAAGCACCGGCCAACUACGUGCCAGCAGCCGCGGUAAUACGUAGGGUGCGAGCGUCGUCCGGAAUUACUGGGCGUAAAGAGCUCGUAGGCGGUUUGUCGCGUCGUCUGUGAAAACCCGCAGCUCAACUGCGGGCUACGUGCCGAUUCGGGCAGACUGGAGAACUGCAGGGGAGACUGGAUAU
This 550-nucleotide ribosomal RNA is filed under the name Rhodococcus sp. enrichment culture clone Ding6. Its description in RNAcentral is "bacterial SSU rRNA". It matches the Rfam family "Bacterial small subunit ribosomal RNA", at positions 101 to 668 of the family's 1533-position model. The record is from RNAcentral. Lineage: Bacteria; Bacillati; Actinomycetota; Actinomycetes; Mycobacteriales; Nocardiaceae.